CAUAGCUGGCCUUAGGCAUUGCCCAACUAGUCGAUCACCUAGGAUGCUGCUCUAGCAGGGGCGCUUUUCCGGUAAUCUGGAUUAUGUAGGUAGACCAGGAUAAGGGCACAGGAUGGUAUUGUGGGGUGCUGUGGAGAUCUUUUGCCUAGGGCACCAGUUGAUCAAAUGCUUGUCCUGUGGAAACAGAACAUGAAAAACAGAACUCGUUCUUAAAACAGAAAGAGCCAGAUUGUUUAGUACAAACAUAUGGAUGCACAUCCAAAGUCAACCCAUCAGAUUCAGAGCUCAGGACUGUAUGUCAGCAAUGAAGGCACAUCUCAUCAGAAAGGACAAGCCAAUGAAUCAAGAUUUUACUUCUGAUAAUACUAUGACAUUAUGAUAAUAGAAUUAAAGAAUUUCCUCAAAACUGAAAAAAAA
Molecule: long non-coding RNA, 417 nt
Organism: Protopterus annectens (West African lungfish)
Lineage: Eukaryota; Metazoa; Chordata; Ceratodontiformes; Protopteridae
Exons: 3
Source: RefSeq, a predicted model, not a curated record